AGGGCCGUCUUCCAACUGCGCAAGAGAAACAGGAACACAAAGUCAAAACCAUCAGGAAAAUGAAUGUGACACCUGAGAGGUGCCUGAAAAGGACAGGUGUGCUUUUCAGGAAGCCCUUUUCCCUCAGCGGCCUGAGCUUUGUGGACAACCCAGAUGUGGCUGGUUCUCCAAGGUUCUCUGCCUUCGCGUCCUGAUAGAAUCUUCAGAGUGUUUGUGGGAAGUGCACCGUUCUUGAACAUGAACUUUGUUGAUGACGUCGUCCCAUAAUGCCAAACGGCAGGACCUACCUGCAGACAUCAGUUGCUUGGAGUCCUCUUACUUACUCGCCAGAGUUUGAGGCAGUGAAAUACAUGCAUGUGUCUAAUGUGUACAGACAAAUCUUUGCUUGAUACUAUGCUACCACAAUACUCGGACAGACAACUUCUGCUAGUACACCUACCAGCAUGCAAUCCCUUGAGAAAAUCCAUCCAAGAACAUCUUGAUGUUAAUCGACACUGCAGCUCUCCACAUAAUUUUUGCUAAUACAAAACUCUGUGGAGGUUCUCAGGAUGCUUCAAAAACUCUAUGCCUGCCCAGCAGGAUAGAUAAAAUUCAUUUUUCAGUCUUUCAUAUGUUACAUCAUAGCACAGAGAAGGCUACCUUUCUACCCCUUUCCCAGUGAAUGCUGAAAUUCCUCUGGGAACAGGUGGGCAUUUGCAACGCGGAUUAAAAUGAAGCCCAGAGAGACUUUGUAACUGUGUC
This 741-nucleotide small RNA is filed under the name Rattus norvegicus (Norway rat). RNAcentral describes it as "uncharacterized LOC108351449". The record is from RNAcentral. Lineage: Eukaryota; Metazoa; Chordata; Mammalia; Rodentia; Muridae.